GAACUGUAAGUCAGACUUUUGUGCUCUUAUUGGGGAGAAGAGGAUUUUUCUCCAUCGUCCAGCGUGAGCAGCAAACAGGCCUGCAACAAGUGUGAAUAUCACAGACCCAACAGCAGCAGCAACAAGAAGCAAACCAAAAAACGUCAAUGCAACAGUUCCUCCUGUCCGACCUGCAGACUACCAGCCAGAAAGACAACAGCUGGAGAAACAUCUGUCUACCUCUGACAUCCACCAGCUCAUCCAUACAGCAAACAAACAUCAACAACCAAGAAGCAGCUUCACCUCUGAUCACACACACACUCAACUCUACUCACUCACCUGGAUCAACUCUCAGGUGAAUGAAGCUGACACCCACAUUAGCUCUCUUUCUGCGGUGGGUUUCUUUUGUAAUGACACGACACAUGUAUGUUGCAGCAUCAUUAAUCGUCACAUCCUUCAGAAUCAAAGACACGUCUCCAUCCUUCAUCUGUCUGUCCUGCAGAUCCACCCGGUUCUUAAAAGAUGGAUGCUGCUCAUCAAGAUCAAUUGUGGUACAAAAGGACAUUUUCAUCUUCCAGAGACGAGCAGGAGGCAGACACACAGCAAAGUCCAGCAGAGAGACGCAGAAGCUACAGCAGACAUUUCUCACAGAUGUCUGAAUGAUGGUGCGAUUGUUUGAGAAUGCCAUGAAUAAAAACCUGACUAGACCGCAAGUUAUAAAAGGAAUUCAAAGUAAUUAAAAUUUUUUCCAGGUGUGGGUGUGUGGG
This is a long non-coding RNA of Oreochromis aureus, 746 nucleotides long. The record is from Ensembl. Lineage: Eukaryota; Metazoa; Chordata; Actinopteri; Cichliformes; Cichlidae.